RNAcentral lists this transfer RNA (76 nucleotides) under Candidatus Omnitrophota bacterium. RNAcentral's name for it is "Candidatus Omnitrophica bacterium tRNA-Pro". It matches the Rfam family "tRNA". From Rfam's summary of the family: Transfer RNA (tRNA) molecules are approximately 80 nucleotides in length. Their secondary structure includes four short double-helical elements and three loops (D, anti-codon, and T loops). Further hydrogen bonds mediate the characteristic L-shaped molecular structure. tRNAs have two regions of fundamental functional importance: the anti-codon, which is responsible for specific mRNA codon recognition, and the 3' end, to which the tRNAs corresponding amino acid is attached (by aminoacyl-tRNA synthetases). tRNAs cope with the degeneracy of the genetic code in two manners: having more than one tRNA (with a specific anti-codon) for a particular amino acid; and 'wobble' base-pairing, i.e. permitting non-standard base-pairing at the 3rd anti-codon position. Lineage: Bacteria; Pseudomonadati; Candidatus Omnitrophota. RNAcentral also lists the same sequence under 1 other name. The record is from RNAcentral.
CGGGAUGUAGCUCAGCAUGGUUUAGAGCGCUCGGUUCGGGACCGAGAGGUCGGCGGUUCAAAUCCGCCCAUCCCGA